AUUGAACGCUGGCGGCAUGCCUUACACAUGCAAGUCGAACGGCAGCACGGGUGCUUGCUCCUGGUGGCGAGUGGCGAACGGGUGAGUAAUACAUCGGAACAUGUCCUGUAGUGGGGGAUAGCCCGGCGAAAGCCGGAUUAAUACCGCAUACGAUCUACGGCUGAAAGCGGGGGACCUUCGGGCCUCGCGCUUUCGGGUUGGCUGAUGGCUGAUUAGCUAGUUGGUGGGGUAAAGGCCUACCAAGGCGACGAUCAGUAGCUGGUCUGAGAGGAGGACCAGCCACACUGGGACUGAGACACGGCCCAGACUCCUACGGGAGGCAGCAGUGGGGAAUGUUGGACAAUGGGCGAAAGCCUGAUCCAGCAAUGCCGCGUGUGUGAAGAAGGCCUUCGGGUUGUAAAGCACUUUUGUCCGGAAAGAAAUCCUUGGCCCUAAUACGGUCGGGGGAUGACGGUACCGGAAGAAUAAGCACCGGCUAACUACGUG
RNAcentral lists this ribosomal RNA (486 nucleotides) under uncultured bacterium. Its description in RNAcentral is "partial 16S ribosomal RNA". It matches the Rfam family "Bacterial small subunit ribosomal RNA", at positions 30 to 507 of the family's 1533-position model. The record is from RNAcentral.